Molecule: long non-coding RNA, 2647 nt
Organism: Manis javanica (Malayan pangolin)
Lineage: Eukaryota; Metazoa; Chordata; Mammalia; Pholidota; Manidae
Source: RefSeq, a predicted model, not a curated record
CUCAUUUUCCCUGGGGUUAUCUCCUGAUUUGCUCUCUGCUCUUCUCAUGCUGUGCACUUUUAGGUCUCUGAGGGCAGCCCCAGCUGCAGCUCAGUUCUCUGGUGCAAUGUUGCACUGCCACCCACACGGGCCAGGUGACCCUGUCCUGCUGGCCUGCCGCUGAGCUGAGUGCACACUGCUGCGUGAUGUGAGGAUGCUGUCCCUCACCAACAGUGUUCUGCUUUCUUCCCAGAUUUCUUCUCUAGCGCCUGGGCAGCCCCACUGCCUCAGGGGCCAGCAGCCUGGCUGUUAUCUGAUGCUUCCCACAGUCCUCUGGGGAACCUGUCCCUGCUCUUUCUCAUUCUUGCUUCAUUGCUUGUCCUGAGAAAUGCUGCCUGGAGAGUUAAAUUACUUGGGUUCGGCCAGGAUGGAUCACAUCCUUCAUCUUUAAGAAACAUCUAGAAACUAAGGGGCUGAAGAGCGGGAGCCCAAAGCCACGUCGGACGUCAGCAGCAGCACCAAAGCUAAUGGAACGCUUGUCGCUCUGUUUUCAUCUGUGAGACUCUACUGCCCUCUUCAGUUAAGUAUCAGCAUCAGAAAGAUUCUCCCUCAAUUGCAGGACUUGGAACGGACAGUUGUGGUUGCGUCUAGAUCUGCAGAUGAUGAAGCCCCAACCUCACGUCCUCGUGGAAUCCCAGGUCCCCUGAGCGGACAGGAAGCAACGGCUGGGCAGGGUUCCAGUGUUUCUGACUUGGAUCAAACCAUCUCUGGAUAUUUCGAGAAAGACCACGCUGUUCUGCAGAGCACCACUGGGGAUCAGUACACUAAGCUUAUAGCUACUUUGGUUUUUUUUUUCCAAUGAUGUUUGAAGAUAAGGAAGGAAAUUGAGGAAGGAAGAACGGGAGGGAGGGAGAGACAGAGGAAGGGAAGAAGGGAAGAAGGAAGAGAACAGGUUGAGUCGCAGAGUCCAGGUUGCUUUAUCCCUGAAAACUUUCUGAGGAGGACUGACAUUAUUAUCUAAUUGUUGGAAUCAGGAGGCAAAAGGAAACUCCCUUCUAAAAGGGAACCACCAAAGAAAAGUCUGUGCAUAAGGUACUUUUAUAGCAGGACUGAACCAAUUCCAGAGGCAAAUGAUCAUCCCACAUAACUAGGAAAUGAGCCACUUGGAAGCUAACGUCUUAGGGAUUACAGAAUGGAGUUAGGAACUACUAGGAAGAUUCCGGAACCCAUAUACUCCCAUCAUGCAUUGUACUGAUCACCAUUAGAUUGUUGUUAAUUUUCUUACGGAUUGGUCUUAGUAGAUUGUAAACCAUUCCUUUUCUUUCUCUCCCUCCCUCUCUGUCUCUCCGUGUAAGCUUCUGGAUGAAUGUUCUUGUGCUCUAUAGAACCUUGGACUAUAGAAGUCAAAGCUCUUUCCAAGUGUAACUUUUGAAGAAAAUAGUCCUUAACCAACUUUCCAUAUUUCUAUUAAAUUAGAAAGGACUAGAAUAAGUUUUCAACUUUUCCCUAAUUUCUGCUCUCCUUCUUUAAAAUUUAAAAUUCAUAUUUGUGUUUCAUUUCAUGAUAUAUUAUACCAUCAAACACUCUUAACAUUUCUGGAAAAGCUAACUCAUUUCUUGAUUAUUACCCAUGAGGCUGGCAUAUGUAGAGGCCAAGACAGGCUGCCCCAAAAUGGGCCACUUUGGCAUGUUGUUUAUUUUGAGUUGAACACAAUCACGACUCUGCAGGGCCAAGAGCAAGUUUUACUCCUUCCUUAAUUACCUAGAAGAAUCUAAAUUGGGGUCUUUCCCAGAAUAAAGGUUAUUAUCAGACAAAAAUUUUAUCUGAGUGAGCCAUCUGUAGGGCAGGGCAAACAUCUAAUUACUGAACAUCUGCUCUUCUUUGCCUGGUGAAUUGCCCUCCUCCCCGGUGAAGCUCCAGGCCCCUAUCUCACUCCUUAGCUCAGACGGCAGAGACCUCAUUUUACCUUUCUGUCUUUGAACCUUUCAUAUACGUGGGGUUCCUAUUCAGAUGAAAUAUUUGAUUUUCUCCUAUUAAUCAGCCUCAAGUCAAUUUCAUUCUUAGACCAGCCAGAAGAACCUUUGAAGGGUGGAAGGUAUUCCUCCCUAAUAUAAGUAAAAUCUGUGUACUUUAGGAAAUAUGGAUUACUUAAACUUUUUUCAGUAGCUGCACAGUAUUCCAUAAAGUGGUUGUAUUAUAAGUCAUUUUAUAUUUCCCUACUGAAACAUUUUAGGAUGUUACUAAGAUUGACUAUUAUGGGAAAAUGCAGCAAUGAACAUCCUUGUAUCCUAGAUCAGAUAUUAAGAAGCAAAACUGUUUGGAAAUAAAUUUUACAGUUGAAAUACUGCCAAAUUGUCACCCAAAAAAAUGGUUCACUAAAUUUACAUUCCUACCAGCAAUGUAGAGUGCAUGCAUUUCAUUUGCUUGUGCCAAAAUAUUUUUAUUACCAAAUUUAAAUUUUUUCUAAUAAUUUGGGUGAAAAUGGGAUCUUUGUAUUUUGCACUUCCCAGAUUACUCUUGAAGUUUAGCAACUUUUGCAGAGUAUUUGUGACUGUGUUAAUUUUAGCCAAUGUCAUUUCUAUAAAUUAUUUAGCCCUGUUGCAAAUUACUCUAAGCAAAACUACUUUAAAAUUAUUCCUACACUGUUGGUGGGAGUGUAAAUUGGUGC